This 237-nucleotide ribosomal RNA is filed under the name uncultured bacterium. Its description in RNAcentral is "partial 16S ribosomal RNA". It matches the Rfam family "Bacterial small subunit ribosomal RNA", at positions 103 to 339 of the family's 1533-position model. The record is from RNAcentral.
CGGGUGAGUAACACGUAAAUAAUCUGCCCUCCAGUUGGGGACAACUAUUCUAACGGAUAGCUAAUACCGAAUAUUGUAAUACUUCGCAUGUUGUUAUUACGAAAGGCUUCGGCCGCUGGAGGAUGAAUUUGCGGUGCAUUAGUUUGUUGGUGAGGUAACGGCUCACCAAGACUUCGAUGCAUAGCCGGCCUGAGAGGGUGAACGGCCACAUUGGGACUGAGAUACGGCCCAGACUCC